GGGAAACUUUAUUGCUGAUGCCACCCGCCGCGCAAUUGAAAUAAAAAAACCCGAUGCGCAGAUCAUCGGGUUCAUUUCA
This 79-nucleotide small RNA is filed under the name Escherichia coli. RNAcentral's name for it is "C0465". It matches the Rfam family "C0465 RNA". Rfam says of the family: This family consists of a number of bacterial RNA genes of 78 bases in length which are found between the tar and cheW genes in E. coli and Shigella flexneri. The function of this RNA is unknown. Lineage: Bacteria; Pseudomonadati; Pseudomonadota; Gammaproteobacteria; Enterobacterales; Enterobacteriaceae. The record is from RNAcentral.